AGGGAAGUGGCUCAGUGGUAGAGCGCUUGUCUUGCAUGCCUGAGGCCCUGGGUUCGAUUCCUAAGCAUCACAU
This is a non-coding RNA of Dipodomys ordii (Ord's kangaroo rat), 73 nucleotides long. Lineage: Eukaryota; Metazoa; Chordata; Mammalia; Rodentia; Heteromyidae. The record is from Rfam.